Oryctolagus cuniculus (rabbit) is the source of this 2386-nucleotide non-coding RNA. The record is from RefSeq and is a predicted model, not a curated record. Lineage: Eukaryota; Metazoa; Chordata; Mammalia; Lagomorpha; Leporidae.
GCGUGCCCGCCCGCGCCGAGCGGCGGAGGCCGUCCUGGAGCCGGGCGCUCGAGACGGGGCGGCGGGGGCGCCGCGCUGGCGUCGAAAGAGUUUGUUGGGCUUUGGGAAGGACGUGUGUGGUGUCUGGCGAGCGGCAUUCGGGGCUGAAUUAAGCCACGAGUUCUGCCCAGAGGCGGGAGUGGUCACCCCUGGUCUCGGAUUUGAGUUUUCCAGGGUGGGAAGGAGUGAUGGCUGACUUCGUGGGUCUGACUUUCCUCGCGUUUUGACUCUGGCACGGGCCCCGCGGGAGACUUCGCGGGAGCGGGCGUCUCCUGUCUGCCGGCGGCCGUCCGGCAGUCCACGGGCAGCGCGGUGAUUGAAGGCUUGGACUGAGAACUGCACUUACCUGACUUGGGUGUUUGUAAUUUCUAAGGGCUAAGGCGUCUUAUCUUAUUUUUUGGAGUUACUUGGCGAACUGGGAUGUUCCUAGGACUUGGAGGUUAAAUGGACUGUUUCGGGGUUGGUAUUUCUGGCCCGUGUUGCGCUGUGGACCAGCGGUUGGGUGGGGCACUUCUCAUACAGUAUUUUAUUAAUAAGGGCCUGUCGGUGGGGAAAGAGCUUGCUUGACUCUGGUACUGUAGUUUAAUUAGCGUAUGACCUUUUAAAGCACGUGUUUGCUUUAGGGCAAAGAUUGUGUGAGAGCAGGCGUUAAGCAGUGUGGGGAGUUGAAUUUUAUCCCUAUGAAUUAGUCUGACCGCGUAGUUUCUGUUUACUUUUAAAGAUGUAUUUUAUUUACCUGAAAGGCGGAGUUAGAGGGAGACCGAGAGGUCCUCUGAUCCGGGAGGGCCCGGUGUCGCCGGCGUCAGCGCGGUGCAGGGCGACAGUUUUAUUAUCAGGCCAAAUGUGUUCUAUUUUGAUGAUAUUUUUGGUGAUGGCGCUUGUGAGAGGGAGUUAUUUAGUCAAAAAUGACUUCUAACUACUAUUAAGUAUUUCCUAUUGUAGGUAGUUUUUGUAUUUAUUUGGAUAUUUUGAAAUGGCUUUAACCUAGGGGGGGUUUUUUGGUAGUUUUUAAAAAUUUUUUAAAUUUAUUUUUUGGUAUGUUAUAUACCUUUUCCUUAUUUAGUGAUGUUAUAGUUUUUUUUUUGUUUUUGUUUUUUGUUUUUUUUUUUUUUUUUUUUUUUUUUUUUGACAGGCAGAGUGGACAGUGAGAGAGAGAGAGACAGAGAAAGGUCUUCCUUUUGCCGUUGGUUCACUCUCCAAUGGCCGCCGCGGCUGGCGCGCUGCGGCCGGCACACCGCGCUGAUCCGAUGGCAGGAGCCAGGAGCCAGGUGCUUUUCCUGGUCUCACAUGGGGUGCAGGGCCCAAGCACCUGGGCCAUCCUCCACUGCACUCCCUGGCCACAGCAGAGAGCUGGCCUGGAAGAGGGGCAACCGGGACAGAAUCCGGCACCCCAACCGGGACUAGAACCCGGUGUGCCGGCGCCGCAAGGCGGAGGAUUAGCCUAGUGAGCCGCAGCGCCGGCCUGAUGUUAUAGUUUUAUGCAUUUAUAGUUUUUAAGUAUUACAUGUAACUUGGAGACUUCAGUGGCUUUUUUAUGUAAUCUACAUAUUUUUAAUAUGGGUUUUUUUAUUAGGAUUUGUUUUUAGUUUGGGUGGUUUUAUUUGUAGUUUUUAAAGUAGGUGGGUUUUAAUGUUAUUUUAGGGAUGGCUGGCGUUAUGUUAGUUUAAUUCGUUUUGUAGGGGGGCUUGUUUCGUGGGCCUAUUUGUAAUUUUGUUUUAUAACUUAUAGAAUGUUUUUGUGACGUGAGGUAUAUUUAUUUUUGCUGUAGAAAGAGGCUUUCCAGAACUUGUUUUAUUGUUUAUGCACUGGUUUUUAUUGGAUACAAAGCUUUUUUGUGUUGUGAUGUUUGUCUUUUAAGUAAAUUCUGAGUUUUUUGUGUCUGUUGUGGGGAGACACAGGGUGUUUGGGGAGGAGUAGAUCAUUUAAAGUUGGGUGGGAUUUUUUUUUAUUAUUAUUGGGUGUUUUCUUUUACACAAGCACAGAAUCCAGAUGAGGCCCCAAGUUUUUGAGAAACCAGCCCACCUGCCCACUGAGGACGCGGACCCACAGCCCUGGGCGCGGGAGGUGCAGAGAGCGGACUUCAGCCGUGCGCAGGAGCCGCUGCCUGCUCUCUGCUAUGGCCUGGGAAAGCAGUAGAGGAUGGCCCAAGUGCUUGGGCCCCUGCACCCAUGCGGGAGACCCCGAAGAAGCUCCAGGCUCCUGGCUCCAGUUUGGCCCCACUGCAGCCAUUGCAGACAUUAGGGAGUGAACCAGCGAGUGGAUGGAAGACAUCUCUGUGCCUCUCUAACUCUACCUUUCAAAUAAAUAAAUAAAUCUUAAAUAAAAUUACAACCAGCCUUGUUUUGCA